GGAGAGGUGGCUGAGUGGUCGAAAGCGGCAGAUUGCUAAUCUGUUAGGGGAUAUUAUCCUCUCGAGGGUUCGAAUCCCUCCCUCUCCA
RNAcentral lists this transfer RNA (88 nucleotides) under Iningainema tapete BLCC-T55. It matches the Rfam family "tRNA". Rfam says of the family: Transfer RNA (tRNA) molecules are approximately 80 nucleotides in length. Their secondary structure includes four short double-helical elements and three loops (D, anti-codon, and T loops). The record is from Rfam by way of RNAcentral. Lineage: Bacteria; Bacillati; Cyanobacteriota; Cyanophyceae; Nostocales; Scytonemataceae.